GAUUCGCUAGCUCAGCUGGUAGAGCACAGCACUUUUAAUGCUGGGGUCCUGGGUUCGAGCCCCAGGCGAAUCA
RNAcentral lists this transfer RNA (73 nucleotides) under Tidjanibacter sp. Its description in RNAcentral is "tRNA-Lys". It matches the Rfam family "tRNA". Rfam says of the family: Transfer RNA (tRNA) molecules are approximately 80 nucleotides in length. Lineage: Bacteria; Pseudomonadati; Bacteroidota; Bacteroidia; Bacteroidales; Rikenellaceae. The record is from RNAcentral.